This is a long non-coding RNA of Quercus lobata, 649 nucleotides long. RefSeq lists it as uncharacterized. Lineage: Eukaryota; Viridiplantae; Streptophyta; Magnoliopsida; Fagales; Fagaceae. The transcript has 3 exons. The record is from RefSeq and is a predicted model, not a curated record.
CGUUGCGAUUAAGACUCACCGUCACGAUUGAGCUCCCACCGUCGUCGUUGAGCUCCCACCGUCGCCGUUGAGCUAGCCGUCGCCGAUGAAGCUCAAACCAUCGCCGAGGAAGCUCCGUUAAGAGCCAACCGUCGCCGAUUAGGCUCAACGGCGACCCUUCGCAUUCCUUCGAACCGGCGACCAUUCGACUUCCCGGCGACGCUUCGCAUUCCUUUGAAUCGGCGACCCUUCGCCUUCCUUUGAAUCGGCGACCAUUCGACUUCCCGGCGACGCUUCGCAUUCCUUUGAACCGGCGACCAUUUGACUUCCCGGCGAACCUUUGCAUUCCUUUGAACCGGCGACCCUUCGCCUUCCUUCGAAUCGGCGACCGUUCGCCUUCACAGAACUCUCGUUUCCGAUUUCAUUUUCCAUUUCUGUCCCUCUGUGUUUUCCAAACACAAUCUCCGGCAGCUACAGCAUCAACGACAAUCAAUCUACGGACUCAUUUCGACGGCCAGAUUGUAACCCUAACGUUGACUAAGGUUUUGAAACUUUGCCUACGUCAUUGCCUAGUGUUCAUUGCGGGUCCAAGAACCAAAUAACAUUGCGAUUAUUGGCGCUUCUCUUCUGAGGACACGUUCUGCCGUUUUGGCAUUGAGAAGCUACUCAU